RNAcentral lists this ribosomal RNA (467 nucleotides) under uncultured Pseudomonadota bacterium. RNAcentral describes it as "bacterial SSU rRNA". It matches the Rfam family "Bacterial small subunit ribosomal RNA", at positions 29 to 505 of the family's 1533-position model. Lineage: Bacteria; Pseudomonadati; Pseudomonadota. The record is from RNAcentral.
AACGAACGCUUGCGGCAUGCCUCAAACAUGCAAGUCGAACGAGAAAGCACCUUCGGGUGCGAGUAAAGUGGCGCACGGGUGAGUAACACGUAGCUAACGUACCCUUUCGCUGGGGACAACUCCGGGAAACCGGAGCUAAUACCGAAUAAUCUGAAAAAGUCUGCGGACCUUUUCGGUAAAGCCUUCGGGCGCGAAAGGAUCGGGCUGCGGUGCAUUAGCUUGAUGGUGGGGUAAAGGCCUACCAUGGCUACGAUGUAUAGCUGGUCUGAGAGGAUGAUCAGCCACACUGGAACUGAAACACGGUCCAGACUCCCACGGGAGGCAGCAGUUGGGAAUAUUGGACAAUGGGCGAAAGCCUGAUCCAGCAAUGCCGCGUGAAUGAUGAAGGCCCUAGGGUCGUAAAGUUCUUUCAGCAGGGAAGAAGGGAAACUUGACUGUACCUGCAGAAGAAGCACCGGCUAACUCCG